UCCUACGGGAGGCAGCAGUGGGGGAUAUUGCACAAUGGGGGAAACCCUGAUGCAGCGACGCCGCGUGAGUGAAGAAGUAUUUAGGUAUGUAAAGCUCUAUCAGCAGGGAAGAAAAUGACGGUACCUGACUAAGAAGCCCCGGCUAACUACGUGCCAGCAGCCGCGGUAAAACGUAGGGGGCGAGCGUUGUCCGGAAUGACUGGGCGUAAAGGGUGCGUAGGCGGCAUAAUAAGUUAGAAGUGAAAUACCCAGAGCUUAACUCGGGUGCUGCUUCUAAGACUGUUGAGCUUGAGUGAGGGAGAGGU
This 305-nucleotide ribosomal RNA is filed under the name uncultured bacterium. RNAcentral describes it as "bacterial SSU rRNA". It matches the Rfam family "Bacterial small subunit ribosomal RNA", at positions 337 to 658 of the family's 1533-position model. The record is from RNAcentral.